RNAcentral lists this ribosomal RNA (468 nucleotides) under Acacus sarawacus. Its description in RNAcentral is "partial large subunit ribosomal RNA". The stretch from base 331 to 468 matches the Rfam family "Bacterial large subunit ribosomal RNA", at positions 2473 to 2610 of the family's 2925-position model. Lineage: Eukaryota; Metazoa; Arthropoda; Insecta; Phasmatodea; Lonchodidae. The record is from RNAcentral.
CCGCGGUAUUUUGACCGUGCAAAGGUAGCAUAAUCAUUAGUUCAUUAAUUGUGGACUAGUAUGAAUGGUUGGACGAAAUAUUGACUGUCUCAUAUUUAAUAUUAUAAUUUAAAUUUUUAGUUAAAAUGCUUAAAUUUUUGUAUAGGACGAUAAGACCCUAUAGAUCUUAAUUAUAUUUUUUUUUAUUUGGUUUAGUUUAAUUUAUUAAUAAUUUUAUUUAUUUUUUGGUUGGGGUGACUUUAAGAUUUAAUUAACUCUUAUUAUUUUUUUUUCAAUAAUUUUUGUUUUUACGACCUUUUAUUAAUGUUUGAAAGAUUUAGAUACCUUAGGGAUAACAGCGUAAUUUUUUUUGAGAGUUCUUAUCGACAGAAAAGAUUGCGACCUCGAUGUUGGAUUAAGAAAAUGAUUUGGUGUAGGUGCUAAUAUUGUUAAGUCUGUUCGACUUUUAAAUUCUUACAUGAUCUGAGU